UACAGAGGUCUCAAGCGUUGUUCGGAUUCAUUGGGCUUAAAGGGUGUGUAGGUGGCGCCGUAAGUCGGGUGUGAAAUUUCGGAGCUUAACUCCGAAACUGCAUUCGAUACUGCGGUGCUUGAGGACUGGAGAGGAGACUGGAAUUCAUGGUGUAGCAGUGAAAUGCGUAGAGAUCAUGAGGAAGACCAGUGGCGAAGGCGGGUCUCUGGACAGUUCCUGACACUGAGACACGAAGGCCAGGGGAGCAAACGGG
RNAcentral lists this ribosomal RNA (253 nucleotides) under uncultured bacterium. RNAcentral's name for it is "partial 16S ribosomal RNA". It matches the Rfam family "Bacterial small subunit ribosomal RNA", at positions 524 to 776 of the family's 1533-position model. The record is from RNAcentral.